GAUGCCCUGGCAGUCAGAGGCGAUGAAGGGCGUGCUAAUCUGCGAUAAGCGCCGGUAAGGUGAUAUGAACCGUUAUAACCGGCGAUACCCGAAUGGGGAAACCCAGUGUGACUCGUCACACUAUCAUUAACUGAAUCCAUAGGUUAAUGAGGCGAACCGGGGGAACUGAAACAUCUAAGUACCCCGAGGAAAAGAAAUCAACCGAGAUUCCCCCAGUAGCGGCGAGCGAACGGGGAGGAGCCCAGAGCCUGAAUCAGCAUGUGUGUUAGUGGAAGCGUCUGGAAAGGCGCGCGAUACAGGGUGACAGCCCCGUACACAAAAGCGCAUGUGCUGUGAGCUCGAUGAGUAGGGCGGGACACGUGGUAUCCUGUCUGAAUAUGGGGGGACCAUCCUCCAAGGCUAAAUACUCCUGACUGACCGAUAGUGAACCAGUACCGUGAGGGAAAGGCGAAAAGAACCCCGGCGAGGGGAGUGAAAAAGAACCUGAAACCGUGUACGUACAAGCAGUGGGAGCACCCUUUGGGUGUGACUGCGUACCUUUUGUAUAAUGGGUCAGCGACUUAUAUUCUGUAGCAAGGUUAACCGAAUAGGGGAGCCGGAGGGAAACCGAGUCUUAAUUGGGCGUUAAGUUGCAGGGUAUAGACCCGAAACCCGGUGAUCUAGCCAUGGGCAGGUUGAAGGUUGGGUAACACUAACUGGAGGACCGAACCGACUAAUGUUGAAAAAUUAGCGGAUGACCUGUGGCUGGGGGUGAAAGGCCAAUCAAACCGGGAGAUAGCUGGUUCUCCCCGAAAGCUAUUUAGGUAGCGCCUCGUGAAUUCAUCUCCGGGGGUAGAGCACUGUUUCGGCUAGGGGGCCAUCCCGGCUUACCAACCCGAUGCAAACUGCGAAUACCGGAGAAUGUUAUCACGGGAGACACACGGCGGGUGCUAACGUCCGUCGUGAAGAGGGAAACAACCCAGACCGCCAGCUAAGGUCCCAAAGUCAUGGUUAAGUGGGAAACGAUGUGGGAAGGCCCAGACAGCCAGGAUGUUGGCUUAGAAGCAGCCAUCAUUUAAAGAAAGCGUAAUAGCUCACUGGUCGAGUCGGCCUGCGCGGAAGAUGUAACGGGGCUAAACCAUGCACCGAAGCUGCGGCAGCGACACUGUGUGUUGUUGGGUAGGGGAGCGUUCUGUAAGCCUGUGAAGGUGUGUCGUGAGGCAUGCUGGAGGUAUCAGAAGUGCGAAUGCUGACAUAAGUAACGAUAAAGCGGGUGAAAAGCCCGCUCGCCGGAAGACCAAGGGUUCCUGUCCAACGUUAAUCGGGGCAGGGUGAGUCGACCCCUAAGGCGAGGCCGAAAGGCGUAGUCGAUGGGAAACGGGUUAAUAUUCCCGUACUUGGUGUUACUGCGAAGGGGGGACGGAGAAGGCUAUGUUGGCCGGGCGACGGUUGUCCCGGUUUAAGCGUGUAGGUGUGUGUUCCAGGUAAAUCCGGUUCACUUUAACACUGAGGCGUGACGACGAGGCACUACGGUGCUGAAGCAACAAAUGCCCUGCUUCCAGGAAAAGCCUCUAAGCAUCAGGUAACAUCAAAUCGUACCCCAAACCGACACAGGUGGUCAGGUAGAGAAUACCAAGGCGCUUGAGAGAACUCGGGUGAAGGAACUAGGCAAAAUGGUGCCGUAACUUCGGGAGAAGGCACGCUGACACGUAGGUGAAGUGAUUUACUCAUGGAGCUGAAGUCAGUCGAAGAUACCAGCUGGCUGCAACUGUUUAUUAAAAACACAGCACUGUGCAAACACGAAAGUGGACGUAUACGGUGUGACGCCUGCCCGGUGCCGGAAGGUUAAUUGAUGGGGUCAGCGCAAGCGAAGCUCCUGAUCGAAGCCCCGGUAAACGGCGGCCGUAACUAUAACGGUCCUAAGGUAGCGAAAUUCCUUGUCGGGUAAGUUCCGACCUGCACGAAUGGCGUAAUGAUGGCCAGGCUGUCUCCACCCGAGACUCAGUGAAAUUGAACUCGCUGUGAAGAUGCAGUGUACCCGCGGCAAGACGGAAAGACCCCGUGAACCUUUACUAUAGCUUGACACUGAACAUUGAGCCUUGAUGUGUAGGAUAGGUGGGAGGCUUUGAAGUGUGGACGCCAGUCUGCAUGGAGCCGACCUUGAAAUACCACCCUUUAAUGUUUGAUGUUCUAACGUGGACCCGUUACCCGGGUUGCGGACAGUGUCUGGUGGGUAGUUUGACUGGGGCGGUCUCCUCCUAAAGAGUAACGGAGGAGCACGAAGGUUGGCUAAUCCUGGUCGGACAUCAGGAGGUUAGUGCAAUGGCAUAAGCCAGCUUGACUGCGAGCGUGACGGCGCGAGCAGGUGCGAAAGCAGGUCAUAGUGAUCCGGUGGUUCUGAAUGGAAGGGCCAUCGCUCAACGGAUAAAAGGUACUCCGGGGAUAACAGGCUGAUACCGCCCAAGAGUUCAUAUCGACGGCGGUGUUUGGCACCUCGAUGUCGGCUCAUCACAUCCUGGGGCUGAAGUAGGUCCCAAGGGUAUGGCUGUUCGCCAUUUAAAGUGGUACGCGAGCUGGGUUUAGAACGUCGUGAGACAGUUCGGUCCCUAUCUGCCGUGGGCGCUGGAGAACUGAGGGGGGCUGCUCCUAGUACGAGAGGACCGGAGUGGACGCAUCACUGGUGUUCGGGUUGUCAUGCCAAUGGCACUGCCCGGUAGCUAAAUGCGGAAGAGAUAAGUGCUGAAAGCAUCUAAGCACGAAACUUGCCCCGA
This 2750-nucleotide ribosomal RNA is filed under the name Salmonella enterica subsp. enterica serovar Enteritidis. RNAcentral describes it as "partial 23S ribosomal RNA". It matches the Rfam family "Bacterial large subunit ribosomal RNA". The record is from RNAcentral. Lineage: Bacteria; Pseudomonadati; Pseudomonadota; Gammaproteobacteria; Enterobacterales; Enterobacteriaceae.